GAUCUGGCUCAGGAUGAACGCUGGCGGCGUGCUUAACACAUGCAAGUCGAACGAAGCACUUAAACCUGAUUCUUCGGAUUGAAGGUUUUUGUGACUGAGUGGCGGACGGGUGAGUAACGCGUGGGUAACCUGCCUCAUACAGGGGGAUAACAGUUAGAAAUGACUGCUAAUACCGCAUAAGACCACGGAGCCGCAUGGCUCAGUGGGAAAAACUCCGGUGGUAUGAGAUGGACCCGCGU
Molecule: ribosomal RNA, 239 nt
Filed under: uncultured bacterium
Lineage: Bacteria
Description: partial 16S ribosomal RNA
Rfam family: Bacterial small subunit ribosomal RNA
Source: RNAcentral